This 639-nucleotide ribosomal RNA is filed under the name Salmonella enterica. RNAcentral's name for it is "partial 23S ribosomal RNA". It matches the Rfam family "Bacterial large subunit ribosomal RNA", at positions 711 to 1262 of the family's 2925-position model. Lineage: Bacteria; Pseudomonadati; Pseudomonadota; Gammaproteobacteria; Enterobacterales; Enterobacteriaceae. The record is from RNAcentral.
AGACCCGAAACCCGGUGAUCUAGCCAUGGGCAGGUUGAAGGUUGGGUAACACUAACUGGAGGACCGAACCGACUAAUGUUGAAAAAUUAGCGGAUGACCUGUGGCUGGGGGUGAAAGGCCAAUCAAACCGGGAGAUAGCUGGUUCUCCCCGAAAGCUAUUUAGGUAGCGCCUCGUGAAUUCAUCUCCGGGGGUAGAGCACUGUUUCGGCUAGGGGGCCAUCCCGGCUUACCAACCCGAUGCAAACUGCGAAUACCGGAGAAUGUUAUCACGGGAGACACACGGCGGGUGCUAACGUCCGUCGUGAAGAGGGAAACAACCCAGACCGCCAGCUAAGGUCCCAAAGUCAUGGUUAAGUGGGAAACGAUGUGGGAAGGCCCAGACAGCCAGGAUGUUGGCUUAGAAGCAGCCAUCAUUUAAAGAAAGCGUAAUAGCUCACUGGUCGAGUCGGCCUGCGCGGAAGAUGUAACGGGGCUAAACCAUGCACCGAAGCUGCGGCAGCGAACGUAUCACCCAAGACAACUUUACGGAGUUGACGAUUGACGGAGCGAAGCGACGUCAAAGCGUUCAUUAAAGUCGAGUUGGCUUAGGGAUACGUUCGUUGGGUAGGGGAGCGUUCUGUAAGCCUGUGAAGGUGGCCU